UUAAGUGAAGAGUUUGAUCAUGGCUCAGAUUGAACGCUGGCGGCAGGCCUAACACAUGCAAGUCGAACGGUAACAGAACUAGCUUGCUAGUUGCUGACGAGUGGCGGACGGGUGAGUAAUGCUUGGGAAUUUGCUUUAGGUGGGGGACAAACAGUUGGAAACGACUGCUAAUACCGCAUGAUAGCUACGGCUCAAAGGGGGCUUCGGCUCCCGCCUUAGAGAGCCAAGUGGGAUUAGGUAGUGGUGAGGUAAAGGCUCACCAAGCCCACGAUCCCUAGCUGGUCUGAGAGGAUGAUCAGCCACACUGGAACUGAGACACGGUCCAGACUCCUACGGGAGGCAGCAGUGGGGAAUAUUGCACAAUGGGCGAAAGCCUGAUGCAGCCAUGCCGCGUGUGUGAAGAAGGCCUUCGGGUUGUAAAGCACUUCAGCGAGGAGGAAAGCUAGUCGUUAAUACCGGCUAGGUGUGAC
Molecule: ribosomal RNA, 470 nt
Filed under: Psychrosphaera haliotis
Lineage: Bacteria; Pseudomonadati; Pseudomonadota; Gammaproteobacteria; Alteromonadales; Pseudoalteromonadaceae
Description: bacterial SSU rRNA
Rfam family: Bacterial small subunit ribosomal RNA
Source: RNAcentral